Molecule: long non-coding RNA, 245 nt
Organism: Lontra canadensis (Northern American river otter)
Lineage: Eukaryota; Metazoa; Chordata; Mammalia; Carnivora; Mustelidae
Exons: 3
Source: RefSeq, a predicted model, not a curated record
CAUCAGUUACUUUGUCCAGCUCCAAACCAACUUCCAGUUCCAGCCCAGAGCAGAGCACCUGUGUCCACUCUGGCUUCUGACUGAGAAGCGUGGUUGCACCAGCUUGCAUUCCCACCAACAGUGUAGGAGGGUUAAGGUGGAAAACUUUUGGAAACAGAUGAUGGCGACAGUAGCAAGACAUCAUGAAUUCACUUAAUGGAUUUCAGGCUCCACAACCAGCAUGAAGCCCAAUACGGGUCUUGAAC